This 344-nucleotide unclassified non-coding RNA is filed under the name soil metagenome. RNAcentral's name for it is "partial contains 5.8S ribosomal RNA, internal transcribed spacer 2, and large subunit ribosomal RNA". The stretch from base 1 to 120 matches the Rfam family "5.8S ribosomal RNA", at positions 35 to 154 of the family's 154-position model. The record is from RNAcentral.
GAUGAAGAACGCAGCGAAAUGCGAUAAGUAAUGUGAAUUGCAGAAUUCAGUGAAUCAUCGAACCUUUGAACGCACAUUGCGCCCGCCAGUAUUCUGGCGGGCAUGCCUGUUCGAGCGUCAUUUCCACCAUCAGGCCCCCGGGCCUGUGUUGGGGACCUGCGGCUGCCCGCAGGCCCCGAAAUUCAGUGGCGGUCACGCCGUAGCAACCGAGCGUAGUAACUAAAACGUCUCGCUCUGGCUCGCUGGGCGCGCUCCGGCCGUAAAACACCCCCCCUUUUCGCAAAGGUUGACCUCGGAUCAGGUAGGAAUACCCGCUGAACUUAAGCAUAUCAAUAAGCGGAGGA